RNAcentral lists this non-coding RNA (213 nucleotides) under Carboxydothermus hydrogenoformans. Its description in RNAcentral is "T-box sequence". It matches the Rfam family "T-box leader". Rfam says of the family: Uncharged tRNA acts as the effector for transcription antitermination of genes in the T-box leader family. T-boxes are found upstream of many aminoacyl-tRNA synthetase genes and some amino acid biosynthetic genes usually in Gram-positive bacteria. Lineage: Bacteria; Bacillati; Bacillota; Clostridia; Thermoanaerobacterales; Thermoanaerobacteraceae. The record is from RNAcentral.
GUAAACUCUAUGCCGGGGAGUAGUAGCAAGCCUCUUCCCUGAAGAGAGCCGGUGGCUGGUGGAAACCGGUGGGAAUGCUUUGCGAAUCCGCCCCCAAGAGGUACCGGCGAAAGUAAAGUAGCCGGUAACGGCCGAGCCGUUAACCAAACGAGGUGGGCAGAGUUAUUCUGCCAAGAAGGGUGGCACCGCGAAAGGACUCCUUUCGUCCCUUGA